This 368-nucleotide ribosomal RNA is filed under the name uncultured eukaryote. RNAcentral's name for it is "partial 18S ribosomal RNA". It matches the Rfam family "Eukaryotic small subunit ribosomal RNA", at positions 592 to 975 of the family's 1831-position model. The record is from RNAcentral.
UAAUAGCGUAUAUUAAAGUUGUUGCAGUUAAAAAGCUCGUAGUCGGAUGUCGGGCUCGGGCAGGCUGUCGGCUUCGGUCGGACGGCAGGCUCGGGUCUUUCUGCCUGAGGAUCCAUCUCAUUCACUUGGGGUGGGGACGCAGGCCGUUUACUUUGAAAAAAUUAGAGUGUUCAAAGCAGGCCUACGCUUGAAUACAUUAGCAUGGAAUAAUGGAAUAGGACUUUGGUGCUAUUUUGUUGGUUUAUGGGACCGAAGUAAUGAUUAACAGGGACAGUUGGGGCCGUUUAUAUUUCGUUGUCAGAGGUGAAAUUCUUGGAUUUACGAAAGAUAAACUUCUGCGAAAGCAUUCGGCAAGGAUGUUUUCAUUG